AUGUCGCGCAGCGACAGAGUCACACAGAAGUUUGAACGAUAUCUGGUCAGGUGAUCAGAUUGACGCCAAUGGCGCGGAUUUACAAAGAACAACCUCUUGAUAAAAGCGACAAAUUUCCUACUUUGCUUAGUAGACUUCUAAAUAUUGAGUAAAAACAACUGGAGUAUUGAAAACUGGGCAUAAACGGUGAAUUGAGCACGUUUCAGUAAAAGCUCAGUAAAUUUCUUUGUGCAAGACGACAAGCCCAGACGAAAACACCCUGACAAUGACGCGUCUAAAUUACAAAUGUGCUCUCCGUUGUUUUCUGGUCCUAACGAUGAUCGCUAUCGUAAUCAGCAACGCUGAACACUCCCGCACGCGCCGUCAAGCAUUUUGCGCCGGCUAUGGCCAAAGAUGCAAUCCUUCCGACGCAAUGUUCUGCUGCAGUCAUAUGGUCUGCACCGAAUACAAGUGUGGCUCUCUGAACUCCCGCUCUGCGCCAAAUAUCUUCGUUGCAAAUUCUGACGACAGCCGAAAAUUCAAACCUUCACGGAUCAAAAGCGCGGAAGGACGUUAGACUAAUGCACGUUACCUAAGUGGGCUUGUUUACACACACGACCGUAUAACACAUGAUUAUCGCUAAGGAUCGCUAGAGAGACCAAGCCUUACAGGGAGACAGUGCAUUUAAACACAAUCCAAUCAGUCAGCUCAGGAGUAGAACUAUAUAGCUCAUUUUUUUCUAUGGCUGAAGCCUAUGGUUCCUUGGUAUCGUCGAAGCUGCUAAACGAGUGUUGAAAAUUCACUCUGUAUUUUUUAAAAUCUAGUCUGUGCUAUUGUGAUCGUAUGCUGAAUAACUCAUCCGGCGUCGCUGUUAUUAGCAGAUUUUUAUGCUCAUAAAAAACAUAUGUUGCAUACAGAGUUCAAAUAGCUUCGUUGUCUGACAGUAUCAGUAAAGAUUGUUUCAUAAACCCACCUUCUUCAUUCACCUAUCUUCCUCAUUUCGGACUGAGUAUUGGUUAGUAAACGAAUCUGUUCUUUAUUCUACGAAUAUUCGCUCUUCGGGAAGGAAAUGAUACAAAGUCAGCAGAACGACAACAGAAUUCACGAUUUCUGGCUAUGACCAGAGGAAAGCUAUCAAACCAACUAAGUAAUGGAAAUAGACGUGCAUUUUAUAUUCUCUAUCUAAUGCGCUCCACCCUAAGCUACUCUAAAUUCAGGUAUUGAGGAAUAUCUGGUGUGUCUUCUAGUCGACACGGCGGAGUAGCCGUGCUAAAGUGUAUCCUUUGAUAAUUCUAUCUAUCUCUUCUUAUUGACAGCUUAUAAGAGCUUGAUUGACAUCGGAUGUUGAAAUAAUCCACAGCGCAAUAUGUAAGAUAUUAGCCUAGGGUUUGUUUAAAAUUGCUUUGCGUUUGUUAAAAUUGCUAAAUUUAUUGUUGGGCAUAUUACGCCUUCUACUAAGCACGAUGUGUUAUUUCUGGUUCAGGAUUUGUUUUGGUCAUUUUACAUAAAAUACACAGUAAAAUCUCAUGGAAAAACAAAUUUAUCUUGAUUUUCCUAACAGUUGUUCUACAUGACCAAAACAAACGAGGCGACUAAAGAAACAUUCAUGUUAGAAUAAAAAGUCAGGUAAGUGGUGAAUGUCCUCUGACAAUCACUGCGUUUUGUGGUAUCAUUUUUCAACUUAACCUGCCAAACUCUUAAGUAAGCUUGAUCUACGUACAAAAAAAAAUACUGAUUCGUUUGAAUAAAUUAGCAUUUCUAGCUUACAGAUGAUUUAAAUGUGGUUUAAUUUGUGUUAAAGUUUUCGUUAAAUGAAGAAUAAAGUUCCACGACUUAUUCAUCCUCAAUUAACUUCAGUUACUUUUUACUCGCAGGUAUCGCAAAUAGUGCGGCAAUUUCCCCUUCAUUUCAAAAAAAUCAACGCCAAACUUCGCGCUUGUCAACGAAGAAGUCGAGUGCGGUCUUAGUUUUCAUGUCCUGUUUCGACUUGACGACGGCCAUAAAAGCAAAUUUCUAAGUGUUUGAAAAAAAAACCAAAACGACAGGUAUAGUUACCGCAAUCAUUG
This 2045-nucleotide long non-coding RNA is filed under the name Varroa destructor (honeybee mite). RNAcentral describes it as "uncharacterized LOC111252517". The record is from RNAcentral. Lineage: Eukaryota; Metazoa; Arthropoda; Arachnida; Mesostigmata; Varroidae.